GACGAACGCUGGCGGCGUGCUUAACACAUGCAAGUCGAACGGUAAGGCUCCAGCUUGCUGGGGUACACGAGUGGCGAACGGGUGAGUAACACGUGGGUGACCUGCCCUGCACUUCGGGAUAAGCCUGGGAAACUGGGUCUAAUACCGGAUAGGACCGCACCGUGAGGGUGUGGUGGAAAGUUUUUUCGGUGUGGGAUGGGCCCGCGGCCUAUCAGCUUGUUGGUGGGGUAAUGGCCUACCAAGGCGGCGACGGGUAGCCGGCCUGAGAGGGUGGACGGCCACAUUGGGACUGAGACACGGCCCAGACUCCUACGGGAGGCAGCAGUGGGGAAUAUUGCACAAUGGGCGGAAGCCUGAUGCAGCGACGCCGCGUGGGGGAUGACGGCCUUCGGGUUGUAAACUCCUUUCACCAUCGACGAAGGGUUUCUGACGGUAGAUGGAGAAGAAGCACCGGCUAACUACGUGCCAGCAGCCGCGGUAAUACGUAGGGUGCGAGCGUUGUCCGGAAUUACUGGGCGUAAAGAGCUCGUAGGUGGUUUGUCGCGUCGUCUGUGAAAUUCCGGGGCUUAACUCCGGGCGUGCAGGCGAUACGGGCAUAACUUGAGUACUGUAGGGGAGACUGGAAUUCCUGGUGUAGCGGUGAAAUGCGCAGAUAUCAGGAGGAACACCGGUGGCGAAGGCGGGUCUCUGGGCAGUAACUGACGCUGAGGAGCGAAAGCAUGGGGAGCGAACAGGAUUAGAUACCCUGGUAGUCCAUGCCGUAAACGGUGGGCGCUAGGUGUGGGUUUCCUUCCACGGGAUCCGUGCCGUAGCUAACGCAUUAAGCGCCCCGCCUGGGGAGUACGGCCGCAAGGCUAAAACUCAAAGGAAUUGACGGGGGCCCGCACAAGCGGCGGAGCAUGUGGAUUAAUUCGAUGCAACGCGAAGAACCUUACCUGGGCUUGACAUAUACAGGAUCGCGCCAGAGAUGGUGUUUCCCUUGUGGCUUGUAUAUAGGUGGUGCAUGGUUGUCGUCAGCUCGUGUCGUGAGAUGUUGGGUUAAGUCCCGCAACGAGCGCAACCCUUGUCUUAUGUUGCCAGCACGUUGUGGUGGGGACUCGUAAGAAACUGCCGGGGUUAACUCGGAGGAAGGUGGGGAUGACGUCAAAUCAUCAUGCCCCUUAUGUCCAGGGCUUCACACAUGCUACAAUGGUCGGUACAGUGGGUUGCCAGUCCGUGAGGGCGAGCUAAUCCCGCAAAGCCGGUCUCAGUUCGGAUCGGGGUCUGCAACUCGACCCCGUGAAGUCGGAGUCGCUAGUAAUCGCAGAUCAGCAACGCUGCGGUGAAUACGUUCCCGGGCCU
This 1341-nucleotide ribosomal RNA is filed under the name uncultured bacterium. RNAcentral describes it as "16S ribosomal RNA". It matches the Rfam family "Bacterial small subunit ribosomal RNA", at positions 28 to 1381 of the family's 1533-position model. The record is from RNAcentral.